GAUUAAGUUAUUAAGGGCGCACGGUGGAUGCCUUGGCACUAGAAGCCUAUGAAGGACGUUACUAACGACGAUAUGCUUUGGGGAGCUGUAAGUAAGCUUUGAUCCAGAGAUUUCCGAAUGGGGAAACCCAGCAUGAGUUAUGUCAUGUUAUCGAUAUGUGAAUACAUAGCAUAUCAGAAGGCACACCCGGAGAACUGAAACAUCUUAGUACCCGGAGGAAGAGAAAGAAAAUUCGAUUCCCUUAGUAGCGGCGAGCGA
RNAcentral lists this ribosomal RNA (258 nucleotides) under Staphylococcus aureus. Its description in RNAcentral is "partial 23S ribosomal RNA". It matches the Rfam family "Bacterial large subunit ribosomal RNA", at positions 1 to 256 of the family's 2925-position model. The record is from RNAcentral. Lineage: Bacteria; Bacillati; Bacillota; Bacilli; Caryophanales; Staphylococcaceae.